AUCGGCCGUAUACACAUAUGGCAGGGAUUGGACGAUAGGGUGGUCCCGCCAUCAAUGAUGGAAUACAUAGAAAGGGUGUUACCAGAAGCUGUAACUCACAAGCUUCCUAAUGAGGGUCACUUCUCCUAUUACUUUUUCUGUGAUGAAUGCCAUGAGAAGAUAUUCUCCACUCUUUUUGGAACUCCUCAAGGUCCGCUUGAACGACAAGAGGAAACUGCAUUUGAGAAAAACAUGGAAGAUGCUUUACAAGUAUCUGAUUCUGAUUUCUGAUAUGGAAUGAUGUGAAACUGAUGGUAUACACGAGUUCGGUUUGGAUGUAAAUAACACAGGCGGCUCCUAUAGGCAACACAGUAAAGCUUCAAAGGAUAGAGUUUUCAGUAUUCAGAAGGAUUCUUAAGUUUUGAGCCACAAAAGCUUUUGGAGAUAUAGGCGAAGCGUUUGCCAUGAUGAUGGCAUCUUUUGUUGCUCUUGUAGAGUCUACCGGAGCUUUCAUUGCCGUAUAUAGGCAUGCAAGUGCAACACCAUUACCGCCUUCUAUUCUUAGUCGAGGUAUCGGUUGGCAGGGAGUUGGCAUUUUGUUAUCAGGAUUGUUUGGAACAAUUACCGGAUCGUCCGUGUCUGUAGAAAAUGCAGGUCUUUUAAUCUCAAAUGACUGAGAUGAUAAUAUCACUAAAUGUCUCUAAAGGUGCAUUCUACUAUGUUGUUUAUCACUAUUAUUACUGGAUUUCAUUCUUGAUAGAGUUUUUCUUUCAUUUUGUGUUUAUAUGAGAUGGUAUUGUAGUUUUCAUUCCAAGCUAGCUUUAUAAAAAGAGCAAUAUAGUAUGAGUGAUGAAAAGUCAUUGAAUAUGUUAGUCUAUUUUUCUUUAUCAAGAAAGACAAAUAUAGGUGUGAGCAAACUUAGGCUGUUUCUGGAAGAAAUACUACAA
Molecule: long non-coding RNA, 926 nt
Organism: Vicia villosa (hairy vetch)
Lineage: Eukaryota; Viridiplantae; Streptophyta; Magnoliopsida; Fabales; Fabaceae
Exons: 6
Source: RefSeq, a predicted model, not a curated record